RNAcentral lists this ribosomal RNA (250 nucleotides) under uncultured bacterium. Its description in RNAcentral is "partial 16S ribosomal RNA". It matches the Rfam family "Bacterial small subunit ribosomal RNA", at positions 355 to 598 of the family's 1533-position model. The record is from RNAcentral.
UCGAGAAUUUUUCACAAUGGGGGAAACCCUGAUGGAGCGACGCCGCGUGGGGGAUGAAUGGCUUCGGCCCGUAAACCCCUGUCAUUUGCGAACAAACCUGGUGGUUGAACAAACUGCCAGCUGAUAGUAGCAGAAGAGGAAGGGACGGCUAACUCUGUGCCAGCAGCCGCGGUAAUACAGAGGUCCCAAGCGUUGUUCGGAUUCACUGGGCGUAAAGGGUGCGUAGGCGGUGGGGUAAGUUUGAGGUGAA